This 253-nucleotide ribosomal RNA is filed under the name uncultured bacterium. RNAcentral describes it as "partial 16S ribosomal RNA". It matches the Rfam family "Bacterial small subunit ribosomal RNA", at positions 524 to 776 of the family's 1533-position model. The record is from RNAcentral.
UACAGAGGGUGCAAGCGUUAAUCGGAAUUACUGGGCGUAAAGCGUGCGUAGACGGUUACAUAAGUCGGGUGUGAAAUCCCCGGGCUUAACCUGGGAAUGGCAUUUGGGACUGCAAGGCUCGAGUGCGGCAGAGGAGACUGGAAUUCCUGGUGUAGCAGUGAAAUGCGUAGAUAUCAGGAGGAACACCGAUGGCGAAGGCAGGUCUCUGGGCUGACACUGACGCUCAUGCACGAAAGCGUGGGGAGCAAACAGG